RNAcentral lists this small RNA (104 nucleotides) under Flavobacterium flevense. RNAcentral's name for it is "Flavo-1 RNA". It matches the Rfam family "Flavo-1 RNA". The record is from RNAcentral. Lineage: Bacteria; Pseudomonadati; Bacteroidota; Flavobacteriia; Flavobacteriales; Flavobacteriaceae.
AACGAGUCGCUGCGUUAACGAUUGAAGCGGCAUCCUUUUUAUUUUGUCAUCCUGAGCUUGUCGAAGGACAAAAUAAAAAGAUACAGCGGAAAGCGUGUUAAAAC